UGGACAACAUUCAAACCCUUUGCAGUUGCAAUCAGCGUCUGAAAAAACAUAAUAGUUACAACUUUCAACAACGGAUCUCUUGGUUCUGGCAUCGAUGAAGAACGCAGCGAAAUGCGAUAAGUAGUGUGAAUUGCAGAAUUCAGUGAAUCAUCGAAUCUUUGAACGCACAUUGCGCCCCUUGGUAUUCCAUGGGGCAUGCCUGUUCGAGCGUCAUUUGUACCUUCAAGCUCUGCUUGGUGUUGGGUGUUUGUCUCGCCUCCGCGUGUAGACUCGCCUUAAAACAAUUGGCAGCCGGCGUAUUGAUUUCGGAGCGCAGUACAUCUCGCGCUUUGCACUCAUAACGACGACGUCCAAAAGUACAUUUUUACACUCUUGACCUCGGAUCAGGUAGGGAUACCC
Molecule: ribosomal RNA, 399 nt
Filed under: Epicoccum nigrum
Lineage: Eukaryota; Fungi; Ascomycota; Dothideomycetes; Pleosporales; Didymellaceae
Description: eukaryotic LSU rRNA
Rfam family: 5.8S ribosomal RNA (bases 60-213)
Source: RNAcentral